Molecule: RNA transcript, 4828 nt
Organism: Daphnia magna
Lineage: Eukaryota; Metazoa; Arthropoda; Branchiopoda; Diplostraca; Daphniidae
Exons: 7
Source: RefSeq, a predicted model, not a curated record
CAAAUGUGAAUGUCUGAUAGUGAUUUUUUGUGACUGAUUUAUCAUUUAUUAAAGCCGAUAAAAGUUGAAAAAAUGAAACAAAAAAAAAAGCCAAGUUAUUAACUGAAUUUAAGCAAUGUGGCAAUGUCGAUUCUCCUUUCUAUUGUGGAAGUGUUUUACAAACGUUGAUUCUCUCCGGAACGAACGUCUGUAAUCUUGUAGGUAAAUAAUUGGCUUAGUGAGGUUACUCGUCGAAUGGCUGCGAACGCGUCCACCGACAAUUCGUUUCCCCUUACAAUAAUGGAAUGUGAAACCGCGCUUUCUUGUGAAGGCGGUGAAAGUUCUCAGAAUUCUUCCUCACACAAUGGAUCCUACCAUAGUUCAUUAAUUAAUGAACUAGCGAAAAUGGUGAUGAACUUCAAGGCUAAAGCUUUACUGUUGGAAGAUGAACAGGAAACACUACUGUCAAUUUUAAUGAACUUACGAGAAGAACUUCCUGCAGAACCCUCUACAAUUUCUGGGUUGGGAGCAGUUAAUGUUGCUGAUAAUUUAAUUGCCACUUUGGCAGAUGUAAAUUUGAAAGUAACCACUAAACGCAGCAGUCAUGAAGAGGAAGCUCUGCAUCAAGUUAAUAACAUGAUCAGUAAACUUGUUUUUCAAGCCCAAAAUGAAGUGCAUAGCACCAAAGAGCUAUGCCAUGUUUACAUCAGAUCUUGUUACCAGCCAGGUCAAUGUACAGAUGAAUCAAACUUAGGUGAGGGAGAUUCCUUUCAGUCAUUCAUUCUUAGAUGUGCACCAGAUGAUAAACAGCGUAUCAGAAGAAGAUUGCAUGGAUUGUUAAACUAUAUUGAUUCUCUACUCAAGGAUAUUUAUUCCCCUACUAAUGAGGUGACUGAAAAAUAAAAUAUGUUUACAGGUAAAUCAUGGCAGGUGUGUGUCACAGGGAUUCUUUUUUUCAUUGCAUAAAGCGUUAAAAGACAAUUUACUUGCAGGGCGAGGAUUUGUUUUUUAUCAGGUAACCGUAGAUAUAGUUGUAUUGUUAAAACUACAUAAGCAUGUUUGUACGCAUACAAGUAUUUGAUAAUUCGCAAAAAUAACGUGGAUUACGCGAAGGAAUGCAUGAAAGACGGAAUUACCAUUCAAUAUCGCAGUAGCUUACGCCAUUAAUCGGAUUAACAUUGAAGCCACGACGAAGAAGGCGGCACCUUGAGUAAAAGUUAAAAUUUCAUGAACGACGUUUUGAUUAUGAACACUGAAAAGUUGCUGAGAAAAAAAAAUCGCUUAUUCACCUGUGUUCUUCCAAACGUGGAGCGGCGAGCCGUGGAUCAUUGGUACUGGCACUAGACCAAAGCCUUUCAGCUACAGCCGAAGCUCGAGGCCAUGUAAUAGACGUAACACUCACAGCAUCGAUAAAUUCUCCCCACAUGCAUGCCUCGCCGCCAAUUACCUUAUUGAACAAAAUGGAGGACACAGUAAAUGGUGAAGUAGGAGCACGUUAUGAUCACAGCUUUCAUUGUAAUUCGAUCUAUAACUCACCAAUCUUUUUUGGCUUUCCGUUCCAUUAAAUGAUAAGGGUUCUGCUAAAUAAUAACGAUCCCAGUCGACGCCGUAAUUGAUGUAAUUGAGGUACCAGGGAGAAGAAAGUACAGUGCGAUAGCCAAAUUUUGUCACCUGCGAAACGAAUAGCCAUUACGCUUCUUGGUAAUUAUAAACAGUGAAAAAGUAUCAAAAAUUGAUUUACUCGAGCUAGUUCAUCGUGGAAGUUAUUUCCAUCUUUCCAGACAUGUAUGACCGUACUAGAUGGAAGAACUACGUUAUUAUCAAUAACUUCUUGCCACACAAGGUAACGCAUUUCGCCUUUAGUUACAUCUUGUGUAACAUUAAUUAAUCGUUGCAUAUAGAACUGUUCCAAACGAGCGAAAUCUUGUUCCCAUCUCUGUUGUUUCAUAAAAGAUAUAAUUUCAGGAUUGCUGGCCCUAAAAGAAGCCACAAAAGGCACAUGCUUUGAAAAAUUCUGAAGAGAAUUUUGGCAUCUUCAAACGCUAAAUUAUUACCAACAGCUGAAAUCAACUUCAUCCCCUCCAAGAUGAACGUACGCGUCAGGAAACACUUGGAAGAUUUCAGCAAAAAAUUCUCUUAGAAAUUUGUAAUUCUUAGCGGGAACCGGAUUUAUUGGACCAAAAAAGUUGUCUUUUGUUCCAUCUUUUUUAUAGCAGGGAGUAAGUAAACCAGGAGAACCCGGUCCCCAAGACUGCGUGUGUCCUAGACAAAUAAUGUUUUAAACGGUGAUAUGCGAUUAAACACGAAAGUCCUUAUUUACCAGGCGUGUCGAACUCCGGGAUGACCCUGAUGCCUCUCAUCCGAGCAUACUGGAUCACAUAUUCAACAUCCGAGGGACUAUAUACGUGGCUGUACGGAUUGAAAGAUCCUAAUUGACUGAAUCACAAGUAUGCUUACUUAGGCAAGAAAAACAAGAAACUUUGUAAACGGGCUCGAUUUUCACCUCAGACUAGGAAAUUUCCUACUUUCGUAGGGGAAAGCCGGAUCAUCCGUUAUAUGCCAAUGGAAAACAUUCAAUUUGUUCUGAGCCAUUAAGUCCAAGUUAUCUUUUAUAACUGGAAGUGGUAGAAAAUGUCUGGAACUAUCCAGCAGCAAGCCACGAUGAGGAAAUCGCGGAAAGUCCAUUAUCAUUGUUGAAUUUAUUUGGAACUGUCGAAACGGGUAGGUUGUUAUUGGAUGUUCAGCUUCCUGUUACCAUUUUUCUUUUUUGAAUAUUUUAUGGAAGCUGACUUUGACUCACCGCUAUUCCAUUUUGCGAUGAGUAGACUAGUUGACUAAAAGACUCCAGUCCGCGCAGUAUCCCCCAUACACUUUGACCCAAUAUGAUUCCUUCGCGUGGUCUAUCCGUCGCAUCAAUCUUGAUUUCAUCUAUUCAAAUUGUUCGAAGUAAGUAACAAGUUUGCAAUUUUUGACGGUGAAUCAUAAUUUACAGUGUUCAUCCAUGCUGAGUGAAGGUAAUUUUUCACACGGUUGCAUCACAUGAAGAACAACGGUAUCAAGAUAACCUCUGAAAUUUUCAUUCUUUUCCCAGGUCAUGCUGUACUUAUUAGAAAGCUUCUGAAAUCGUUUCGAAGUUCCACUUCCUCUUGGCGGAAAGAAAAUGAGAUCAUAGUAACGGUGAAUAGCUUCCUCAAGGAUAUCGCAAGUAUUUCCAGUAAUCUGCAAUCAAACAGUAGAAUAUUUGUAUCGAUAUAAGAACCUCAAGGACUCCUAAAUUCUUUUCUCUAUAGGCAGCUUGGAUACCUGGAAAUGGAAGUCGCUUGGUCUCAACACCAUAAAAUUGUCGGUAGACUAUCAAAACAUGGAAUAUACAAGAAUUCAAACUUCAUUGUUAUAAUGGACAAAGUUUUAAACGGCAAACUUGUUCAAGUUGGGGUUUGGGCCAAAUCUGACCCACUGUUGGGCGUAUCCAGGCUCCAUUUCCUUUUGGUAAAUCAAAUGGGAAACGAAGAUUGGCCUUUUGAAAGUCCGGUUCUGCUAAUCCGAGUGAAAAAUCCAACAGCAAUAAGAGGAAACUAACACUCUUUAUCGCCAUCUCCUGAGUAUGAAAAAAUCAAACCGCAAGCGUUUGCGUUUAGGGGGCCGAUCAUAGGAUUAGAAAACUCGCCAUCUAGCGUUCCAUGACGCCUGGCGAUUAAUUUAUUUCGUUUUAAAAAUAAAAGCAAUGUUGGCACGCCUUAUACUCAAUAAUGCUAUGGAUACCCAGAAUCAUGGCCCUACGGUUCUACGUUAUUGAAAGAGACCAUGUACCUGAAAAAGUUUGGAUAAUGUUGAACAAGAAUGUGCGAUUCGCUAUUCUCUCCAAAUAGAGCAAAAACUUUCGAUGUCGAAGCUUAACUCGUUGAUAAUUAAUCUAUUGGGAGUCAUGAACACAAUACUUAUUGGUCAUCGAAAACUUGUAUUGACGAUCGUCGCAUUUGAGAAACAAGGUUAGAAGUAUUCCAUCAUAUUAUAGUUUCAUAAGCUAGCAAUGCUGUCGAUAGCCUUGUUGAUAUCGGCAGGAGGAAGUGGCAUGGCUUCGUUAACAAUGAUUUCCUUUUUUUUUGGAAGAGCUGUUAGAUUUUCUCGAACUUCGCCCAAACUACUGUCCAGGUUCUCAAUUUUUUUUCGCAUGUUCGCAUUCAGCUAAUCAGAAAAAAGAGAAAGGGUCUACGAUCAUAAUCUGUCUAUCACUGUAUAAACAUCAACGUCAAAAUGUACCUUUUUCAAAUUUGUGUUAACAGGUUGAGCUUUAAAUUUUGCUUUAGCUUUCGCCGCUUUACCACCCGCAACUCGGAAAAUUGGAUUUUGUUUGUUUUUACCUCCUUUAUUUUUCCCCAUGCUGACAUGGAAGAAAAAAAAAUUGAAUUUAAUAAGAACAACAAAUAGUGGGACAUAUCUCAUGUUCAAACUACCAUGUACCCUAGAAAAGGAUGCAUAAUACUAUUAUUGUUAUCAUUAUAAAUGGUUUUGUUUGGUAAAUGUUGUUGUGUUAAAAAUGCAGCCUAUGCGGAAAAACUUCAUUAAACAUUCUGCUUUCAUUAAACAAGCCUGACUCUUAUGUUGUAUCCUUUUUCAACAACAUGAGAAUGUUGAGACAAUCCAAUGUCAAUACAAUAACCAAGAACCCUUUAUAUAAUAAUAACAAUAAUAAUCAUAUAAAAAUUGUGUGGAAACCAUUGCAUGUUUAAAAUGCAGGCAAAAUGGUUGAUUGUUCCCUGGGAACCUCAAAUGGUGUCCAAGCAUCCAGAUGGCAACCCAAAAAAGUAAGCAAGGCUUACAACCAAUUGUUAUAAGAACAACCAACAAC